This is a long non-coding RNA of Tachysurus fulvidraco (yellow catfish), 2272 nucleotides long. RefSeq lists it as uncharacterized. The transcript is spliced from 3 exons. The record is from RefSeq and is a predicted model, not a curated record. Lineage: Eukaryota; Metazoa; Chordata; Actinopteri; Siluriformes; Bagridae.
AUAAUCGCCCUGAAACGUCAACAUGGAGCCAGUCAGAUGGUCAUGUAGUGUAUAUAUACUGACCAGAGUACUGACCAGAGAACAGGUUUAUCUUGUGUUUAAUUAAUAACACAUGCACGCAAUUUAUAUCAACUAAACAUAAGACUUAGACGCAUAAAGACGUGCUACAGGACCAGUGCAGGCUAUAAAGCGUAAAAUAGUUCAGUAACAACUCUCUAUGUCCGUGAUAAUACACCGUACUGCUAUGUCACGUUAGCUUGUUAGCACGCAGACACUUAGCUAAACACCCCAUACACCACUUUUAUUUAUUUUAAAUGUCCAUAUUUAAAAAAACACACAAAUGUUAACGAAAACGUCCAGGAUAUGAAACUUAAAUCAAGUCAACUUAUAGACGAAGGAGAUGAACAGCACAGGCUAGCAGUCUGGCUAAAAAUACAGGACUAGCCACUAGGCUAACUGAAGUCCAUGACAACACCGUUAUCUCACUGCUUAAACCAAAACAGUGCUACAUUUCAGACACUUUAUAAACACUCGUGAAACUUGUUUACACGUAUAAAGCUUAUGUCUGUCUGCGUAAAGGUGUUUAAACGAGUCGGAACGCUAAGCUAAUUCAGAAUGCUAAGCUAAUCCCAAAUAGCCUUUGCAAAAGCCCAGUUGCCGGUGGCAACAGCAGCACUUUUAAUGUUCAAAGUUGGCUUGUGCAGUUGUGCUUAAACCGAAAGCGUGGUUUCUUUUCAUUUCCGAGCGCAUAGAAACAUUUUAUUAACAAACUCGUAAAAAAAAACCCUAAACAAACACGUAACUCCACGCGAUAAAAUAAAAGUGUUUUUUGUAACGCAGUAAAAGCUGAUAUAAUGUUGAUGUUUGUCUCCAGCUUAACCUACAGUUUGGGCUUCUAACGCACUGCUCAUCUGAGCAUUCAAGAUAAUUUAUAAAGUAGUAAAGCUGAUUUUAAAGCAAUACCCAAGAAAAAAAAAGCGCAGAUUGAAAGGAAGAAGCUCAACAACUUCAACAGUGCAAUCCAGAAGUCCACAACAAUCAGCACAUUUGGUGGACAAAUCCUUAAAGAUUGGUGGGCGAAACCUAAACACAAGAGCUGAGAGAGGAGAGAGAAAGUGGCCGUGCAUUUGCACUGGGAGAUCUGGGACGAAAAAUCUCACAUGAUCCUGUACGUCAGCGAUACAUUUUCAUACGACACCCAAAAUAUUUUAAUGCAACUCAAUGCAAUAAAAAAAAAAAAAAAAAGCAGCCAUGCACGUGAGCAUGGGGAAUUAUAGUGAAGGAUUAACUUUACAUGCAAAAAAUAAAUAAAUAAAACACACACACAUAUAUAUAUAUAACAUCCUGCCGUUGGCACGAAUAAUUAAUAUUAUGAUUAAUAAUGAUAUUAAACGCACGACUCUGUUUAUAAUUUCAUGUAAUUCAGUUUCAGAUUUUCCUUCACUGAUUUUUUUUUGCACUUAUUAAAACCACAACAAAUUGACUGACAUGAUGUGCAAAGAAAAGUGCAGCAUUUUCCCUCCUUCCUGAUAAAAUGAAUCAAUAAAUAAGUGUAUAAUUAAAGCUAUAAAUCACCAGAAUGCGAUAAGGUGUUUAUGAGAUUUAUCUGCUUUUUAUACCUCAGCUAUCUGUUUUAACAUGUGUGUUUGAUAUCGUUCGUGUUAUCCACUCUGUCUCAGUCGACGAAAAAGAAAAAGAAAAAAAAAGAGAGAAAAAAAAAAUUUUGGCAAUUAUUUGUAGUAUUAUUGCUGGUAUGUGGUGAGAUUUGACUCUGGAGCAAGACAGUGGAAACAGCGCCACCUUUUGGUCACAACCUUUAGGUGAGUGAAGUCAGAAAGGUUGCCUCUGUGGUUCUGGUGGAACAUUUGUUGAAAAUAUUAAUCUACCAUCACACAAUGAUCAGUACAUACCAUCCUAUAUCUAGUUUAUUUAGAUUAUUGUCUACCCCUAACCGUAAAGCAGCGGCAAUGGUGGCAGAUUUGCUUCACAGCUCCAGGGUUGAGGGUUUGAAUCCUGUCUCUGUCCUAUGUGUGUUUGGAGUUUACAGGUUCUCCUGUGCUUCAGGGGUUUUCUCUGGGUACUCCAGUCUAAAAAAGUUUAUAGGCUGAUUGGCAUCUCUAAAUUGUCUGUAAUGUGUGUGUGUGUGUGUGUGUGUGUGUGUGUGUGUGUGUGUGUGUGUGUGUGUGUGUGUGUGAUCAUGUUCUGUCCAGUGUGUCUCCCUUUCUCUGAUGAUGUGCAACAUUAAAUGUAAUAAUAAAUGGAUAAAAAAUUA